CGGGGUGAGUAACGCGUGAGGAACCUGCCUCAAAGAGGGGGACAACAGUUGGAAACGACUGCUAAUACCGCAUAAGCCCACGGCUCGGCAUCGAGCAGAGGGAAAAGGAGCAAUCCGCUUUGAGAUGGCCUCGCGUCCGAUUAGCUAGUUGGUGAGGUAAUGGCCCACCAAGGCGACGAUCGGUAGCCGGACUGAGAGGUUGAACGGCCACAUUGGGACUGAGACACGGCCCAG
RNAcentral lists this ribosomal RNA (234 nucleotides) under uncultured bacterium. RNAcentral describes it as "partial 16S ribosomal RNA". It matches the Rfam family "Bacterial small subunit ribosomal RNA", at positions 104 to 334 of the family's 1533-position model. The record is from RNAcentral.